Molecule: ribosomal RNA, 305 nt
Filed under: uncultured bacterium
Lineage: Bacteria
Description: bacterial SSU rRNA
Rfam family: Bacterial small subunit ribosomal RNA
Source: RNAcentral
AUGGCCUACGGGGGGCAGCAGUAGGGAAUAUUGCUCAAUGGGGGAAACCCUGAAGCAGCAACGCCGCGUGGAGGAUGAAGGUUUUAGGAUUGUAAACUCCUUUUGUAAGAGAAGAUAAUGACGGUAUCUCACGAAUAAGCACCGGCUAACUCCGUGCCAGCAGCCGCGGUAAUACGGAGGGUGCAAGCGUUACUCGGAAUUACUGGGCGUAAAGAGUGCGCAGGCGGGUUUGUUAGUCAGAUGGGAAGUCCUGUAGCUUAACUACAGAACUGCAUUUUAAACUUUUAGUCUAGAGUGUGGGAGAG